RNAcentral lists this ribosomal RNA (459 nucleotides) under uncultured bacterium. RNAcentral's name for it is "partial 16S ribosomal RNA". It matches the Rfam family "Bacterial small subunit ribosomal RNA", at positions 338 to 795 of the family's 1533-position model. The record is from RNAcentral.
CCUACGGGAGGCAGCAGUGAGGAAUAUUGGUCAAUGGUCGGGAGACUGAACCAGCCAAGCCGCGUGAGGGAUGAAGGUACAGAGUAUCGUAAACCUCUUUUGUCAGGGAACAAAGGCGGGGACAUGUCCCCGGAUGAGUGUACCUGAAGAAAAAGCAUCGGCUAACUCCGUGCCAGCAGCCGCGGUAAUACGGAGGAUGCGAGCGUUAUCCGGAUUUAUUGGGUUUAAAGGGUGCGCAGGCGGUCUGUUAAGUCAGCGGUCAAAGCCCGGGGCUCAACCCCGGCCCGCCGUUGAAACUGGCAGUCUCGAGUUGGAGAGAAGUAUGCGGAAUGCGCGGUGUAGCGGUGAAAGGCAUAGAUAUCGCGCAGAACUCCGAUUGCGAAGGCAGCAUGCCGGCUCCACACUGACGCUGAGGCACGAAAGCGUGGGUAUCGAACAGGAUUAGAUACCCUUGUAGUC